This 355-nucleotide ribosomal RNA is filed under the name uncultured bacterium. RNAcentral's name for it is "bacterial SSU rRNA". It matches the Rfam family "Bacterial small subunit ribosomal RNA", at positions 8 to 354 of the family's 1533-position model. The record is from RNAcentral.
AGAGUUUGAUCAUGGCUCAGGACGAACGCUGGCGGCGCGCCUAACACAUGCAAGUCGAACGGAGCUAUGUUGAAAGCUUGCUGGAUAUAUAGCUUAGUGGCGGACGGGUGAGUAACACGUGAGCAACCUGCCUUUCAGAGUGGAAUAACGUUUGGAAACGAACGCUAAUACCGCAUAACGUCAGAGGACGGCAUCGUUCUUUGACCAAAGAUUUAUCGCUGAAAGAUGGGCUCGCGGCCGAUUAGGUAGUUGGUGAGAUAAUAGCCCACCAAGCCGACGAUCGGUAGCCGGACUGAGAGGUUGAACGGCCACAUUGGGACUGAGACACGGCCCAGACUCCUACGGGAGGCAGCAG